RNAcentral lists this unclassified non-coding RNA (222 nucleotides) under uncultured Thelephoraceae. RNAcentral describes it as "sequence contains ITS2". Lineage: Eukaryota; Fungi; Basidiomycota; Agaricomycetes; Thelephorales; Thelephoraceae. The record is from RNAcentral.
ACACCUCAACUCUCAUGGUUCGCCAUGAUGAGCUUGGACUGUGGGGGUCUUGCUGGCUUGUGGUCAGCUCCUCUCAAAUGAAUCAGCUUUCCAGUGUUUGGUGGCAUCACAGGUGUGAUAACUAUCUACGCUUGUGGUGUCCUCCCAGGUAACCUUCAGUGAUGGGGGUCGCUGGAGCUAAUAAAUGCACAUCUCUCGUUGCAGAGAUGGCCUUUUAGAUGU